GUGGGUACAGCUCAGUGGCAGAGUGUGUGCUUAGCAUGCACAAGGUCCUGGGUUCAAUCCCCAGGACCAGCA
RNAcentral lists this transfer RNA (72 nucleotides) under Camelus bactrianus (Bactrian camel). It matches the Rfam family "tRNA". Rfam says of the family: Transfer RNA (tRNA) molecules are approximately 80 nucleotides in length. Their secondary structure includes four short double-helical elements and three loops (D, anti-codon, and T loops). Further hydrogen bonds mediate the characteristic L-shaped molecular structure. tRNAs have two regions of fundamental functional importance: the anti-codon, which is responsible for specific mRNA codon recognition, and the 3' end, to which the tRNAs corresponding amino acid is attached (by aminoacyl-tRNA synthetases). tRNAs cope with the degeneracy of the genetic code in two manners: having more than one tRNA (with a specific anti-codon) for a particular amino acid; and 'wobble' base-pairing, i.e. permitting non-standard base-pairing at the 3rd anti-codon position. RNAcentral also lists the same sequence under 2 other names. The record is from Rfam by way of RNAcentral. Lineage: Eukaryota; Metazoa; Chordata; Mammalia; Artiodactyla; Camelidae.